RNAcentral lists this transfer RNA (66 nucleotides) under Asobara japonica. RNAcentral describes it as "tRNA-Leu". Lineage: Eukaryota; Metazoa; Arthropoda; Insecta; Hymenoptera; Braconidae. The record is from RNAcentral.
AUUACUUUGACAGAUUAAUGUUAUAAAUUUAGAAUUUAUUUAAGUAACUUUAAAUUACAAGUAAUA